This 459-nucleotide ribosomal RNA is filed under the name uncultured bacterium. Its description in RNAcentral is "partial 16S ribosomal RNA". It matches the Rfam family "Bacterial small subunit ribosomal RNA", at positions 338 to 795 of the family's 1533-position model. The record is from RNAcentral.
CCUACGGGAGGCAGCAGUGAGGAAUAUUGGUCAAUGGUCGGGAGACUGAACCAGCCAAGCCGCGUGAGGGAUGAAGGUACAGAGUAUCGUAAACCUCUUUUGUCCGGGUACAAAGGCGGGGACGCGUCCCCGGAUGAGUGUACCUGAAGAAAAAGCAUCGGCUAACUCCGUGCCAGCAGCCGCGGUAAUACGGUGGAUGCGAGCGUUAUCCGGAUUUAUUGGUUUUAAAGGGUGCGCAGGCGGUCUGUUAAGUCAGCGGUCAAAGCCCGGGGCUCAACCCCGGCCCGCCGUUGAGACUGGCAGUCGCGAGUUGGAGAGAAGUAUGCGGAAUGCGCGGUGUAGCGGUGAAAGGCAUAGAGAUCGCGCAGAACUCCGAUUGCGAAGGCAGCAUGCCGGCUCCACACUGACGCUGAGGCACGAAAGCGUGGGUAUCGAACAGGAUUAGAUACCCGUGUAGUC